This is a long non-coding RNA of Calidris pugnax (ruff), 2795 nucleotides long. RefSeq lists it as uncharacterized. The record is from RefSeq and is a predicted model, not a curated record. Lineage: Eukaryota; Metazoa; Chordata; Aves; Charadriiformes; Scolopacidae. The transcript has 3 exons.
CAACCUUAUAAAAAGGCAAGGUUGUUGCUGGAGGCAGACCAGAACACGGCUUCAGCCUCCUUGAAGACAUCUGACCAGUUGGAAGGAUGAAGCUCCUGACAUUUUGUGGCUUUUUGUUUAUCCUUCUUUUGUGUCUCAAUGCCUUUACUGCAGAAGGUCGGAAACCUAAAAAAAUCUGCUGCUCAAAGCUGCCCAAACUCAACAAAAAAGCACAUAAAGGUAUAAAUUUCAAAAAGACUCCAAUGGAAAUAAGGAAAUACUGCAAGCCUUGUGCUCAGCCAGCCCCGCCCAUGAUGGUUCCUGGACCCCUCCCACAGUUAAAAUGAGUAGACCCAGAGCAGGGUGAAAAGCAUCGCCUGCCAGCGCAUCUCACAGUUCUUUACUUGGUUGAGGGCCCUCCUUUCACAGAUAGGACAUGAGUGUAAAUUACUUUUAUUUUUCAUUUGGGAAAGGCUUCAGUCAGUACUGUUUAUUCAUUCUCUCAGGCUCCUUUAUCUUGUUAACAUUAGCCUGGCAGCUAAAGACUCGGGCAAAACUGCAUGGCUGCCACCUGACUUUGUGUCAGUUGCAUAUUCCUCUGCACCCAACAGGGAUUUAGCUCCUCAAAUAAGAGAAACAGAAUUGCUGGCUGAAUCACUUUGGUUUGCAUUUUUGGAUUGCCUAUAAAAAAAAGGUGGGGAAGGGCUGAUGUUACUGUUUCUAAUUAUCAGUAUAUAUGCAUAUUUAACCUUUUCUAUGAAUGAUUUAUUUCAUACUGACAGAAGGAUUUUGUUUGUAGCUAGGCACAUGAUGAUUCUCCCCGCAGUCUUUGCUCUCAGUGCUUGAAAUCCUCUUGGAAGUUAAUUUCAUCAUUCGGAAAGGGCUGAGAAACUACAUAAGCAGGUUGAUGAAAUAGUGGUAAAGGACCAGAUUCAAGUACAGUGGUAAGCUCUUCAAUAUCUCAGCUAGGGCUUUUAAAUCUGGCUUUAAAAGCAAAGGGGCCUGUUCUUUAACGUCCUAGAAGAUUGUAGUCAGGUGGUUAUACACAGCAUACUGAAAAGGUGUUAAGGCUAAUCAGAUUAAACCUCUUUCUCCUGAAGCCAGAAGACAGCUGUUCUUUUAAGACACCUGGGUCAUGUGAUCACCUCAAUAAACAAAACUUACUGGAGGAUAAAAUAAAUGCUAAGAAUGAUAUCAAAGGGCUGAAUAACAGAGAAACUGAAGCACCCUCUGCUGACAUCAUUAGCGGUGAUUGGGUCUUCACUCAUGUAUCCUCUGUCCUUUCCUAACUGGCCCCUGCUUAUGCUGCUAUUUUGCUACCUGGGGUGAGUCCUUAAACCAGAAAAACCUGGAUGUUCAGAAAUUUGUUUUUUUAUUACUAGUGAAUAUGAGGAGGAGUAGAAAGCUCUUCUGCUGUUGGGCAAGCUGCAGAUUGCUAAUAGUAAUUUUUCCCUUAGUACUCAAGUACUGCUUCUCUUAACAUAACUUCCAGUGAGAUAGAAAUAGACUACUUCAGAAUUUGGGAGGGUUGAAUGGGGGCAGUCAGAGGCCUGUUGUAACCCACACAGACAAAUGCAGUUCCCAAGGAUUGAGUUUAUGGGCACUUGCAUGUGGCAACGUUUCUGUCAUACUGAGCAAUUGAACCAAUUCCUGGGUCUUCUGUGUGCUUGUUAUUACUUUAUUUUCUUAUUGCUUUUGAGAUGAGAUAGAUCUGACUCUCAGCUUCCCAUUUUUGAAGAGCUGACCAUGCAUAGCAUUUUUAUAUCAAGGAUAAAGGAGCUGCCAAUCCUUCUCUCAAGAUCUGAGUUAGGAGGUUGGUGAAGGAGCUGUGUUUGAUUGUUCUGCUGCUGAUCACUAGGCAAAUAUAUUUUAUUUCUAUUUUGGCUUUUGUAGCUCACAGAAGGAAUGUGUAGAAUACAAAUGAUAAGUAAAUGUAAAAAGCAUUUUUGGUAUUAAAUGUGUUUGCAGCAGAGUUUUACUCUGUUGACUAUGGCCAUGUGUGUUUACAGCUCUGUGUAACGCAUUGAUAUCAGCUAUGAAGAUUCUGUUCUCUAAUGUGAUCUUAAGCCCAUUUCUCUUGUAUCUGAAAAAUGCUCUGUGAUUUUUCUCUUUGCCCUACACCAUCCAACCAGUGUGCUCCACAGUCUCCGAUCUUCCUGCAGGCAAAACCUGCUCUCUGAUAGCAAAAUAUAAGCCCCAAAGACCACUAGCACAAUUAUAGAAAUAUUCUGAGUAUCUGGGGGGAUGCAGGGACAUCAUCCAAUGCACCUGAGUAUUUUUACUCAGUUUCCCAGACAGGCCUCAACCAAAGGUUGAGGGCUAUUCAAGUUAAAAAUGUUACUUGUGUGAGUUUCUGGUCUUGACCAAACAAACUUAAAGCGGCAAUAAUCAAAUUAUUUCAGCAUGGAUUGUGGCUGCUGCCCAAACAUGCUUUUUUGCCUCAUCAAGAGGUAUGGGGAUGUCAUGUGUCAGCCCCUGAAGGUGAUUCCUCAACAGAGUUUGACUUUUAUGUACCAGGCCACGUUCCCUUGUGGUAGAACAGAGCUACCAUCUGAUCAUGUCUUCACUUACAGGCGUCUGUUCUUCCUUUUGUUUUCUUUUCACUUACAUGUAUAUUUGUUUGGCAUUACCUGAGGGGAGACAUUUGCUCAGUGGCUUUUCAAAGUACACAAGCUGCAUGCUUAUAUAAAGUAGUAAAUUUAGCUUGUCCAAGCUGACAAAUGCAUUUGUUUGUAUCUUGUGUUUUUGUGUGCAUUCGGCUGUCAAGCAUGAAAAUUGCACAGCCUUGAAGUUCCAAUAAAGAUGUUUCUGAAGUA